GCCGUCCGUUGAGCAUGGACUCGGGUGCCACCAGAGGACUCGGCCGGGUUUUCGAAGUGCGGAACACCAUUUCGGCCCCUUCACGAUGGCUCUCCCGCGGGCGUAGUGAGUGCUUUCUUGCCCGAGGACCAACCUUCGCAGAUGGCGUAGGAUCGAACGAGCGUCACAAACUGAGCCGUCGCAUGCGCCAGAUUUGCGGCAGCCCGGCGUGGUUUGAAAAGAACCCACUGGCCGCGGAGAAACACGCCGGAGACCGUUAGACGUGUUCCGUGUCACUCGGAGAUGACAGCUGCCUCAACGAGCUGCAGCUGUGCCUCAGCCACGACGACUGCGAGGGCGACGAGUUUCUG
This is a long non-coding RNA of Dermacentor albipictus, 350 nucleotides long. RefSeq lists it as uncharacterized. NCBI's taxonomy places the organism in Eukaryota, Metazoa, Arthropoda, Arachnida, Ixodida, Ixodidae. The record is from RefSeq and is a predicted model, not a curated record.